UGAGGUUUGGUCCUGCCAGGGCCAACGCUGCCAGCAGCGACGUUUGUCCGCCGCUUUUUAUCUGACGUAUGUGCACUUACGUUGACCGCUGUUGGGUGUUGUGUGGUGGAUGUUCUCUGGCUGUGUCGCGUGCAACAAGAACAGUAGAAGAGUUUCUGAACUCCGGUCGCCUCGGCAGUGGGCCAUUGGCCAGCAAAGUUGCGUGUUCCUAAACCCAUAGUUCAUACCGUGUCGUCUGGCGUGGACGUAGACCACUGUUGGGUACUGUGUCGCGUACAGCAAGAACCCUGUCCGCCCCGGCAGUGGGCCAUUGGCCAGCAAAGGCACACAGCGAUCGGACUGAGCAUAUCAAGUAGCCCCUCCUGUGACCCACAAGACCACACUCAUUCGGCCGAGGAGCCUGUCUGGACUUACGUUGAGAGUGCUGGCAGACAGUUUGCUUUUCUGGACUUAUGUUGGGACUGCUGGUGGACAGUUUCGGUUUUAGUCUUCAGCUGGUGCACAGUUCACUUUUAUCACACCGCCUCAUUUCUUUUGAGUGUAUCUGCGUUCUCUAGACAUUUAGCCUGUGUUCUUACACGUUGAGAGUACUCCUAUGGUUUACAGCAUUGCUUUGCUCAUAUAAACUUUUGUGAUACUGCCUUGUUGCUUUCGACUCACUUCAUUCUCUUGUCAUUUCGCCAGUAUUGAAACACUCUUAUGAUUGUAUGUGCAGUAAUCUUUCAGGGCAAUGCAUCGUACUCAUUGUGUGU
Molecule: long non-coding RNA, 752 nt
Organism: Rhipicephalus sanguineus (brown dog tick)
Lineage: Eukaryota; Metazoa; Arthropoda; Arachnida; Ixodida; Ixodidae
Exons: 3
Source: RefSeq, a predicted model, not a curated record